UUUGUUUUUUUUGUUUGUUUUUUUUUUGUUUGUAAACUGUAGCGUUAUCUUUUGUAUGUUUUCAUCUGUUUUCCUUCCGCGGUGCGGUUGCUGUUUUGCGCAUGCGCACAAACGUCUAGCCUGUUAAAAUGUAACUUGUAAAAGUAACAAGGGUAUAUGCUGCUUUUCGUGAAGUAGAUUGUUCAUUUAUAUUGUUACAGUGGCCGACAUCAGAAAGAUGGACAUUUACUUUGCUCUGUGUUCUUCUUUCAGUGUUCCUCUCUGGGUGGCGCCAUUACUGCACGCCGCGUCCAGACUGAAGGGUGACCCGGCCAGGCGGAGGAAAGCCUACCGCCUCAUCCAGCGGAGAUUACUGCAUCACGGUGUUGGAUGCGACAAGCUGCACAAACCCACGUACAUUUAUCCGGCUGAAGUGAAGCAGCUGAUCCGCGCCGCCUUCCCUAAGGAAAUCUGUGACUAUCACGACCCGCAACAUCAAAACGUGGUCGCUGUCACCAUGGAUGACCUAAAGGGUGUGAGUUCGGCUGAUCAGAGCUGUUAGACAGACCAGGAGCAAAUCUAACAACUGUUAUCAUUUGUGUGAAAUGUUAAUGUUAACGUUACAUUUGUUUUUGAUCAAUGCAAUCUUGUUUCCCCUGUGCAUGUUGACUGGUUUUCAAUAAAGUUUCAAUAAAGUUGAUUAGAAUAUAUAUAUAUAUAUAUAUAUAUAUAUAUAUAUAUAUAUAUAUAUAUAUAUACACACACACACACACACACACACACACACACACACACACACACAGCAAAAUCACUAGUAUUGAUUUAACACCCAAAGUGUUGAAUUCACACCGACAGUGUUUAUAUGAGUCCAUUGGACUCAUAUAAACACUCUGGGUGUUAAUUCAACACUAGGGAUUUUACUGUGUGUGUGUGUGUGUGUGUGUGUAUAUAUAUAUAUAUAUAUAUAUAUAUAUAUAUAUAUAUAUAUAUAUAUAUAUAUAUAUAUAUAUAUAUAUAUAUAUAUGCUAGAUUUGAAGUGUUGAUGAGUUAAACUAUUAACAACUGGACCAUAGGCCUGUAGUUUAGGGGUGAGUGAGAACUGAUGGUGGCUUUAACCCUUUAAAGCAUAAAUUAUUUAAAUACACGUACAUUCUUUUUUUAAUUAUUAUU
Long non-coding RNA from Ictalurus punctatus (channel catfish), 1149 nucleotides. NCBI's taxonomy places the organism in Eukaryota, Metazoa, Chordata, Actinopteri, Siluriformes, Ictaluridae. The record is from Ensembl.